Molecule: transfer RNA, 68 nt
Filed under: Marmota monax (woodchuck)
Lineage: Eukaryota; Metazoa; Chordata; Mammalia; Rodentia; Sciuridae
Description: tRNA.Ala
Source: RNAcentral
GGAAUGUAGCUCAGUUGGUAGAGUGCUUGCCUUGCAUAACAAGAUCCUGGGUUCAAUUUUCAACACCA